This is a long non-coding RNA of Alligator sinensis (Chinese alligator), 821 nucleotides long. RefSeq lists it as uncharacterized. The transcript is spliced from 3 exons. NCBI's taxonomy places the organism in Eukaryota, Metazoa, Chordata, Crocodylia, Alligatoridae. The record is from RefSeq and is a predicted model, not a curated record.
CUCCCCCGGGGGAAGGGCGACUUCCGGGUGUGGGGGGUGGUUUCCGCCGGACGGAACGCUGCUCCAGCCCUGUUGGUUCCGGACCCUGAGGCGGGGACGCGGAGUGCCCCGGUUUUCUGCCAGAGAGGCCCGGUCCUGCGCUGCCAAUGGAGAACUGAAAGACAGAGAUCAAGGCCAAGAUUUCAUUGAAAAUGCAAUGUCUGCUUAUCUCUGAAGACAUGGGCCUAAAUGAUUUUACCGUAGGACUGCUAUGGGUCUGCUUAGUCAGAUAAAGCUGCUCAGAGGACAAACACAUUACACAAGUGCAAGUCUUUGGACAGACAUGCCCGGAAAGUUUGGGGACAGCUCAAGAGAAGAUGAAUAGUUCAUAAAUAUGCAGAGUCAUCAUUAGUUGGUUUGCAUGGAGUAGAAGCCAUGGUCUGCGUGAUAGCUAGACCAGAAGCUAUACAGGUUUGUGUGCUGGAAUAAUGCUGUUCACUUUAUUCACAUGAAUGAUUCCACUGAAGAAAGUGGGAAGUCUGCAUGAGCACAGAGGAUCCACCCACAUAGAGUCAAUUUCAGCAUUGGGCCUUUAGAACAUCCUACUCUUGAUCAUUGUAGAAACCUCCCUACAGCAGUGUGAGUUCCACUACAGACUUAAAAAUAGCAUAUAACCCCUGGGCUAUAUAAUUAAAUAUGAAAUAUGUCACUUCACCAAUGAGUACAGCACUUUGAAAAAAAGUAUUCAUAUUUCAUAAAUUUCAUAGACAUUAGGGCUGGAAGGGACCUCGGAAGAUCAUUGAGUCCAGCCCCCUGCCCCAUGGGCAGGAAGUCAGCUAGGA